RNAcentral lists this ribosomal RNA (492 nucleotides) under uncultured bacterium. RNAcentral's name for it is "partial 16S ribosomal RNA". It matches the Rfam family "Bacterial small subunit ribosomal RNA", at positions 29 to 507 of the family's 1533-position model. The record is from RNAcentral.
AGUGAACGCUGGCGGUAGGCCUAACACAUGCAAGUCGAACGGCAGCACAGUAAGAGCUUGCUCUUACGGGUGGCGAGUGGCGGACGGGUGAGGAAUACAUCGGAAUCUACUUUUUCGUGGGGGAUAACGUAGGGAAACUUACGCUAAUACCGCAUACGACCUACGGGUGAAAGCAGGGGAUCUUCGGACCUUGCGCGAUUGAAUGAGCCGAUGUCGGAUUAGCUAGUUGGCGGGGUAAAGGCCCACCAAGGCGACGAUCCGUAGCUGGUCUGAGAGAAUGAUCAGCCACACUGGAACUGAGACACGGUCCAGACUCCUACGGGAGGCAGCAGUGGGGAAUAUUAGACAAUGGGCCCAAGCCUGAUCCAGCCAUACCGCGUGGGUGAAGAAGGCCUUCGGGUUGUAAAGCCCUUUUGUUGGUAAAGAAAAGCAGCAGGUUAAUACCCCGCUGUUCUGACGGUACCCAAAGAAUAAGCACCGGCUAACUUCGUG